UAACACAUGCAAGUCGAACGAUGAUAGAGAGCUUGCUUUUCUUGAUUAGUGGCGCACGGGUGAGUAAUGCAUAGAUAAUGUGCCCCUUAGUUCGGGAUAGCCACUGGAAACGUGAUUAAUACCGGAUACUCCUUCUUGUUAUAAGACAAGUCGGGAAAGUUUUUCGCUAAGGGAUCAGUCUAUGUUCCAUCAGCUUGUUGGUGAGGUAAUGGCUCACCAAGGCUAUGACGGAUAUCUGGUUUGAGAGGAUGAUCAGACACACUGGAACUGAGACACGGUCCAGACUCCUACGGGAGGCAGCAGUGAGGAAUAUUGCACAAUGGAGGAAACUCUGAUGCAGCAACGCCGCGUGGAGGAUGACGCAUUUCGGUGUGUAAACUCCUUUUAUUAGGGAAGAUAAUGACGGUACCUAAUGAAUAAGCACCGGCUAACUCCGUGCCAGCAGCCGCGGUAAUACGGAGGGUGCAAGCGUUACUCGGAAUCACUGGGCGUAAAGGGUGCGUAGGCUGGCUUUUAAGUCAGAUGUGAAAUCCAAUGGCUCAACCAUUGAACUGCAUUUGAAACUGAAAGCCUAGAGUUCAGAAGGGGCAGAUGGAAUUAGUGGUGUAGGGGUAAAAUCCGUAGAUAUCACUAGGAAUAUCAAAAGCGAAGGCGAUCU
RNAcentral lists this ribosomal RNA (658 nucleotides) under uncultured bacterium. RNAcentral describes it as "bacterial SSU rRNA". It matches the Rfam family "Bacterial small subunit ribosomal RNA", at positions 49 to 727 of the family's 1533-position model. The record is from RNAcentral.